CGGGCAGGAGGCGGGCGGGGGCUGGGGCGCUCGCUCCCGGCCUCGCCCAGCCCCUCGGCGCGGCCCCCCGCCCCCUGCGCCGUCGCUGCCAACCCGGAAGGAGCCCGGAGGGGCCCGGGCGCCCCAGCCAGGAGGCCCGCCAGGAUCCAGCCCUCCAAGGAAAGCUUCCUGAGCAGUGCGUGCCAUGUGUACUGGGCACCUCACGGCGGCCACUUCGCAUCUUGUCUCAAGUGAAUCUUCAAGCCACUCUGCUGGAACUGGGUGCAAUAUUCCCAUUUUACAGAAGAGAAAACUGAGGCCCAGGUGGAGAAACUGAGCCACUGAGAGGAGCUGUCAUUUACCUGAAGCACCGUGGCAGGGGUUUGGCAGAGCCAGGAUUUGUACCCAGAUCACCUGACUUUGGAGAGUACCAGCUCUUAACCACAGCACUUUGGUCAAAGCCUUAAUUUCACCAUAUGUAACAAGACAAAGUCUUGCUCUGUCACCCAGGCUGGAAUGCAGUGACGCAAUCUUGGCUCACU
Molecule: long non-coding RNA, 521 nt
Organism: Chlorocebus sabaeus (green monkey)
Lineage: Eukaryota; Metazoa; Chordata; Mammalia; Primates; Cercopithecidae
Source: RefSeq, a predicted model, not a curated record